This 569-nucleotide ribosomal RNA is filed under the name uncultured fungus. Its description in RNAcentral is "partial 28S ribosomal RNA". It matches the Rfam family "Eukaryotic large subunit ribosomal RNA", at positions 84 to 625 of the family's 3401-position model. Lineage: Eukaryota; Fungi. The record is from RNAcentral.
UAACGGCGAGUGAAGCGGGAAAAGCUCAAAUUUAAAAUCUCAUUAGAGAAUUGUAGUUUAUGAAAGCGUUUUCGAUGAAGGGCUGGGUACAAGUUCUCUGGAACGAGGCAUCAUAGAGGGUGAGAAUCCCGUCUUUGAUCUAGUAACCUUCACAAUACGAAGCGUCUUUUAAGAGUCGGGUUGUUUGGGAUUGCAGCCCUAAAUUGGUGGUAUAUUCCAUCUAAAGCUAAAUAUUGGCGAGAGACCGAUAGCGAACAAGUACCGUGAGGGAAAGAUGAAAAGAACUUUGAAAAGAGAGUUAAAAGUGCGUGAAAUUGCUAAAAGGGAAACGUUUAACGCCAGUGUUGGGUAUAGGAAAUCAGCCUUGGUAUUCCGGGGUGCACUUUCCUGUAUCCAGGUCAACAUCAGUUUUUUGUGCCGUAAAAAGAUUGGUAGAAGGUGAGUACAUUACUACUGUUAUAGCUCCAAUAAAUGCGGUAUAAAAGACUGAGGAACGCGGUACAUGUCAUUCCCAGUUGCCGUUCACUUAAGGGAUGAUGACAGCAUGCUGAUAUUAUUACUUGAGGGUG